GUCAUGUGGCUAGUUUGCCUGCUCCUCUUCCACCAUGGGCAUCUGAAGCUUCCCAUCAUGGCUUCUCUACCCUCCUUUACCCAUUGGAGAAAGGAUCCAGAUGACUGCCACUUAAAGAAACAAAACAAAGAAUGAAAUCAGAAAAUAUAAGGGAGUGCGGCACAGAGGGGACAAGUGAAUUUCCCACGUCUGCACACUGUCUUGUCAAGAAGGCUGCUGAUUCAAGUAUUCUCCUACAUUUUAUGUUGAACAUGAAGGUCUUCUAAAAUCAACUAAGGCGAGUUGUUAUAUAUAAUACACAGAAAACACACAGCUCAUGAGAACUCAAAGAAAACGAGAUGCUAGUUGGAUUUCAUUUUUUAAAAAUAAGCAUGGUCUCUAGAUAAGGAUUUUAAUAGUAAUGCAGGUGGGACCUGGUAAUUUCCACUCUAUUAUUAACUCCCAGAGUGUCCAUGUCAAAUUCUGUUUACUUACUAUCUUUGCUGAAUAUUAUUGUCCUUAGUCAAAAUUUGGGAAACCCUUAGACUUCAGGGGUUGUGACUAUGUUCUUAGGAAUAAGAUGCAAUUGGCUUCCAUAAAUUCCUAAACACACUUUCAAAAGGUGGCCUGAAUUUCUAUCAGCUAGUGCCUUUAUUUGAAAACACUCUAGAGGCUAAUAUCUGAGUUGCUUUAAAAUUAAUGUUUACUUUUUAACUAUUUUAUUCUUAUGUUUGUGAGAAAACUAUUUUAUUUCUAUAAUUACCACUGAUUGGCUAUUGCCAUUACCAUAUUUCACGAUUUGAAUGAAGCUUCCUGUGUUGAAGAGAGUAAUAGACCAUCUUUGAGUCCUCUAUUUUGCAAUUACAGAGUUUAUUAGGAUGGCAUUUUAUAAAAUAUAGAAAUGUCUCUUUUCUAGCCAUUUAGUCAUUUAUUAUACUUACUAUUUAAAAAUGAUGCUCAAAUGUACUUAAUGGAAGAAUGAUUGUCACAGUUAUGUAAUUGUCAAAACAAAACUCUUAAUUACGAAUGAAAAAGUGUGUCACAUUAGAUUGGAUAGAGAGAAAU
Long non-coding RNA from Ictidomys tridecemlineatus (thirteen-lined ground squirrel), 1044 nucleotides. RefSeq lists it as uncharacterized. The record is from RefSeq and is a predicted model, not a curated record. NCBI's taxonomy places the organism in Eukaryota, Metazoa, Chordata, Mammalia, Rodentia, Sciuridae.